Molecule: transfer RNA, 79 nt
Filed under: Kocuria rosea
Lineage: Bacteria; Bacillati; Actinomycetota; Actinomycetes; Micrococcales; Micrococcaceae
Description: tRNA-Pro(ggg)
Source: RNAcentral
GCGCCGCUCGGCGGCGGGACGCUCACCCGAGCUGGGGGUCCGGGAGGCGUGGGCGCGGUUCGGCUCCGGCCCGGCGGUC